AAAAUUUCAUUUGGCCAAUGGCGGCCAUGUUUUUUUGAGAUACGCGAAUGUCCUCAUAGAUACUUGUGCCCCUUCAGACAAAGACACUGCAUACCAAUUUUUCAAGUCGAUCGGACCAACGGUUGCCUAGUUAUAGCCAUUUAUGUGUUUUUUUCUGUCUUAUAGCGCCCCCAAGUGGCAGAGGUGCGCAAUUUUUUUUAUUUGACCAAAAAUUGAGCUUAUACACAUGUGUACCAAGUUUGGUUAAGAUAUUUCAUUCCGUUCAAGAGUUAUAGCUAAAAUAACAUUUGGCUCACGUUAGCAUAGACGCUUUUUGGCGUACUGUUUCGCGUAAGAAUCGAAAUUUCAACUUUUUUUCGAUAAUUAUUGAUAUUGAGUGUCCAGAGAAUAUUUCUGCAGUGGUUUGGUUCUGAUCGGGUGAAAAAAACCUAGGACUAGUUCGCAAAAAGUAGGUUUCAGAUAUAAACUCGAUUUUUGCGAGAAAACGAUGCGCCGUAGAGCGAAAAAGCAGCAGAGCAAUUUUUGUUCGGGCUAACCCAAGGAUUGCAACGAUGCCAUGUUUUUUUGAGUCUACGACAAACGGUUUACGAGCUACGAGCCAAAAAAAUGUCUAAAAUUUUUUUGUUUUUGCGCUGUAGCGCCCCGUUUAGGCCGAUUGGGUCGAGACUUUGAUAGGUUCUCCCCAAAUUGAGCUCUACAAUCUGGCCAAAGUUUCAAGUCUCUAGGCCUUACGGUUUGGGUCUGCACGAUCAGUUUUUAGGGCAGAAUAAUAAUAAUAAUAAUAAUAAUAAUUAAUAUUAAAAAGCUGCAAGCAGCGAUUACCGGGGUUCAAGCACAUUAAGGCCUCUGAGGUGGUCUCGGCCAACCUGGAUGUAUGGAUGACAGUUAAACACAUCCAAAAUGGAGAACAGGCUAACAGACAGACACACACACUGAAAGUAAAUUAUUAGACUAAUAUAUUAAUACUCUAUAAGCAUAUGCACACACACACACACAUAUACAAAGACAAAGACACACAUACAUGCACACACAUUUUUGUUGCAGAUAUAGGUAUUUGAAAUAAGUGAUAGGUGACAAUAAACUUAUUGCAAGUCUU
Long non-coding RNA from Cyprinus carpio carpio, 1096 nucleotides. The record is from Ensembl. NCBI's taxonomy places the organism in Eukaryota, Metazoa, Chordata, Actinopteri, Cypriniformes, Cyprinidae.